This 501-nucleotide ribosomal RNA is filed under the name Triticum aestivum (bread wheat). RNAcentral describes it as "partial small subunit ribosomal RNA". Lineage: Eukaryota; Viridiplantae; Streptophyta; Magnoliopsida; Poales; Poaceae. The record is from RNAcentral.
CUCAAUCAACUGAAUCAAUAUUACAGACAACGUGGCAAAAAGAAUUGGCUGACCAAAGGCGAUAGAAACACUAAGUUUUUUCAUCAGGCUGUUCUUAAGCGUAGAAAAAGAAAUACAAUCUGUUCUGUUAAAGAUGAGAAUAAUGUGCUCCAUUAUCAACCAACUGCUAUCAUGCAAACUUUUGUUAAUUAUUUCAGAUUCAUUUUCUCGCCUUUUCCUCAACUCAACUCCUUUGAACAUAAUGAUGAUUUCACCUACUCCGUUCCUGAUAAAUCUCAAAUUUUUCAGAUUCUUAAGGAAAUGAAACUGAAUGCUUCACCAGGUCCUGAUGGUUUCAAUGUGGAGUUUUAUCUGGCAACUUGGGAGUGGAUUGGUGAUGAGGUAACACAGUUUGUGUCUUCUUUCUAUGCCACAGGUAUUCUACCUCCUCAUAUUAAUGACACUAACAUUGCUCUCAUUCCUAAGAAGUUAGUACCUCUUGUUCCUAUGGAUUAUAGACCA